RNAcentral lists this ribosomal RNA (180 nucleotides) under uncultured Glomeromycotina. Its description in RNAcentral is "partial small subunit ribosomal RNA". Lineage: Eukaryota; Fungi; Glomeromycota. The record is from RNAcentral.
GGCGUAGCUGAGCGGUCCGCCUUUGGGUGAGAACUGUUCGGCCGCGCCUUUCCUUGUGGGGAACCAGUAUGCGCUUCGCGGUGUGUGCUGGCAAUCCACAACUUUUACUUUGAAAAAAUUAGAGUGUUUAAAGCAGGCUCGCGCUUGAAUACAUUAGCAUGGAAUAAUGAAAUAGGACGU